This 69-nucleotide transfer RNA is filed under the name Phyllophorella liuwutiensis. RNAcentral's name for it is "tRNA-Met". It matches the Rfam family "tRNA". From Rfam's summary of the family: Transfer RNA (tRNA) molecules are approximately 80 nucleotides in length. Their secondary structure includes four short double-helical elements and three loops (D, anti-codon, and T loops). Lineage: Eukaryota; Metazoa; Echinodermata; Holothuroidea; Dendrochirotida; Phyllophoridae. The record is from RNAcentral.
CAUAAAGUAAGCUAACUAAGCUUUUGGGCUCAUAUUCCAAAAAUAGGGGUUAAACUCUCCUCUUUAUUA